GAUGAACGCUGGCGGCGUGCUUAACACAUGCAAGUCGAACGAGAAGUGAAGACGGAAACCUUCGGGCGGAAGGCUUUAUUUCGAGUGGCGGACGGGUGAGUAACGCGUGGGUAACCUGCCUCAUACAGGGGGAUAACAGUUGGAAACGACUGUUAAUACCGCAUAAGACCACAGCACCGCAUGGUGCGGGGGUAAAAACUCCGGUGGUAUGAGAUGGACCCGCGUUCGAUUAGCCAGUUGGCGGGGUAACGGCCCACCAAAGCGACGAUCGAUAGCCGAUCUGAGAGGAUGACCGGCCACAUUGGGACUGAGACACGGCCCAAACUCCUACGGGAGGCAGCAGUGGGGAAUAUUGCACAAUGGGGGAAACCCUGAUGCAGCGACGCCGCGUGAGUGAAGAAGUAUUUCGGUAUGUAAAGCUCUAUCAGCAGGGAAGAAAAUGACGGUACCUGAGUAAGAAGCCCGGCUAACUACGUG
RNAcentral lists this ribosomal RNA (477 nucleotides) under uncultured bacterium. RNAcentral describes it as "partial 16S ribosomal RNA". It matches the Rfam family "Bacterial small subunit ribosomal RNA", at positions 28 to 507 of the family's 1533-position model. The record is from RNAcentral.